CGCUGACUUGAAUGACUGACUGGAUGACCAAAUCCAAGACUCUCUACUAGUUCCACAACAUCUACGAUGGAAUUGUGUUCCACCAGGGCUUGCAGGACCUCCUCGUCGAGCUCUACGAUUCAUCCAGGACGAGGUUCGUCUUCUAAGCUGUAGUUUCCUGUACGGAAUUUCUGGAAACACCAUUGGCACUGGCUUAAUGUCCGAUCCCCUUACACAGCAUUAAUAUUCCUCGCACUUUCCGUUGCGCUGUUGCCUUUAUUGAAAUCUUGAAACAAAAUACGCCGAAUAUGCUCCUUUCUCACUUCCAUUUUAGCUUCGGAAAUGCACUGUUAAAAUCGAACUGCACUCUUCAAAACUUGCACUAAGAAUAAGUAUUUAUUACCUGCUUCUGUAACAAGUUAAUGCAUGCAAAGAAAAAAACAUAUUAAUAAUAGGAUGACCCAAUAUAUUGGUUUCAAAUAUUGGUGCAAGGCCUGCGAUUUUGGAAUAGAGAUAAGUCGAUUAUAUCGAUACCAGUACUCAGCUGGUAAUAUUUUAACGACUCUAAAAGGAUGAAAGGCGGAAUUUGAACUCAGAGCAUAAAGACGGACGACAUGCUGCUAAGCAUUUCACCCGACGUACAAACUAUCCUGUCAGCACUCCAUCUUAAGUUUGACGGGCAUAUAUAUUAAAAGAAGAAAUUUUAACGAUUCUGUAGAGAGGAAACCUUUUAAAUUUAAUGUGAAAUGACAAUAAUAUAAUAAUAUUUAUGUAACUAAAAUCAUUUAAACCGAUUAAUACUCAAGUUAGAGACUUGAAUAACAACGUUAAUUGUACAAUUCACAAGCUUGAUGUGGUUAAGGGAGGAAAACAUAAAUCUUCACUUUAGACUGCAUUGUCUGAAUUAAUCAAGUACUCUAAAAAUCCACACUUGAGGUUUAAAUUUGAGGACAAAGCUCCGGGUAACGGCCUGCCACUUCGCGUGAGCUUAUGUGCACCCCUGUGUGUCGUAUAUCUCAUUUCUACAUACAUACAUACAUAUAUAUAUAUAUAUAUAUAUAUAUAUAUAUAUAUACACAUACACAAAUACGUAUAAUUAUACAAAUACACAGACUUUUAUAGACACAUACACACCACACACACAUACACACAUAUAUAUAUAUACUCUUUUACUCUUUUACAUAUUUCAGUCAUUUGACUGCGGCCAUGCUGGAGCACCGCACUCAAUCGAGCAAAUCGACCCCAGGACUUAUUCUUUGUAAGCCCAGUACUUACUCCAUUGGUCUCUUUUUGCCGAACCGCCAAGCUACGGGGAUGUAAACACACCAGAAUCGGUUGUCAAGCGAUGAGGAGGGACAAACAAACACACGCACAUAUAUAUAUAUACACAUAUAUACUACGGGCUUCUUUUAGUUUCCGUCCAUACAUAUAUACAUACAUAUAUAUUUUUUCUAUUCAUAUAUAUAAACACGCACACAUUUGCACACCCACAGAGAUACACAGACACAGAAACACACACUUACAUUUACACACACACGCACACCUACAUAUAUAUAUAUGUAUGUAUGUAUGUAUGUAUAAGUAUUUGGAGAAUCUGCCUCAGUUCUACCUAUUAAUUUAUGUGUAUACCAAUAAAUUUACCUUACACACACAUAGAGACACGCACAUAUACUCACACACUCAUACAUACACACAUGCACACACAUACACAUAUUCAUAGGUGUGUUUCUUCAAUUAGACAUGCAUCUUUGAGCAUACUGCCAUAAUAUGCAAACGAGGUAAACUAACCUGUUUAUUCUCAUUUUUUUUUUUCUUUUUUUCUUUUCCUUUAGCUAUGUGCCGUGUUUAUGUGACAUCUGUUAUGGCUAUAAAACGGUCGACUUAUCACAGAAUCAGAGAGAAAGCAAAAAAGACGAAUCAACGUGAGUUCAACUUUUGCAUAUUUUAUGAUUCUGG
This 1935-nucleotide long non-coding RNA is filed under the name Octopus vulgaris (common octopus). Lineage: Eukaryota; Metazoa; Mollusca; Cephalopoda; Octopoda; Octopodidae. The record is from RNAcentral.